AUGGGGGGCUGCCACGCCAAGCCGCGCACCCGCGACGCCGACGGCGCAUCCCCGCCGCCACCCGCGCCGGCCACGCCCCCGCCGGCCUCCUCCACGGCGCCCGCCACGCCGGCCUCCAAGAAGCACUGGACGUCCUCCCCCUUCUUCCCCUUCUCCACGCCCAGCCCCAGCCCGGCGCACCACCUCUUCUCCUCCUCCGCGGCCUCCCCGAGGACCUCCUCCAAGUCCCCCGCCCCGGCGGGCUCCAAGUCCCCGGCGCCCACCACCCCGGCCAGGCGCCUCCUGCGCCUGCCCUUCCCGCCGCCCUCGCCCGCCAAGCACAUCCGCCAGGCGCUCGCGCGGAGGCACGGCCCGUCGCGCCCGGCGAUCCCCGAGGAGGGCGGCGACAGCGACGGCGGGAGGGGCCUCGACAAGGGCUUCGGCUUCAACAAGGGCUUCGCCGCCAAGUACGACCUCGGGGACGAGGUCGGGAGGGGCCACUUCGGCUACACCUGCGCCGCCAGGAUCAGGAAGGGCGCGCGCAAGGGGGACGCCGUCGCCGUCAAGGUCAUCCCCAAGGCCAAGAUGACAACAUCCAUUGCUAUAGAGGAUGUCCGGAGGGAGGUGAAAAUUUUGAAGGCUUUAGCAGGGCACAAGAACUUGGUUCAGUUUUAUGAUGCAUAUGAGGACAACGAAAAUGUCUACAUAGUCAUGGAGUUGUGUGAGGGCGGGGAGCUUCUGGAUAGAAUACUUUCCAGAGGUGGGAAGUACUCCGAGGAUGAUGCAAAGUCUGUCCUGGUCCAAAUAUUGAAUGUUGUCGCUUUUUGCCACAUCCAAGGAGUGGUUCACAGGGAUCUCAAACCAGAGAAUUUUCUUUUUACUUCGAAAGAUGAGAACUCUCAACUUAAGACAAUUGACUUUGGAUUAUCAGACUUUGUAAAACCAGAUGAGAGACUAAAUGAUAUAGUUGGAAGUGCUUAUUAUGUUGCUCCGGAAGUUCUACAUAGAUGCUAUAGCACAGAAGCGGAUGUAUGGAGUAUAGGUGUCAUUGCAUAUAUCCUCCUUUGUGGCAGCCGCCCUUUUUGGGCACGCACUGAAUCUGGCAUAUUCCGUUCUGUUCUCAAAGCUGACCCCAGUUAUAAUGAGGCACCUUGGCCUUCUCUAACUCCAGAAGCAAUGGACUUUGUUAAGCGCUUGCUGUGCAAGGAUCCACGUAGAAGGAUGACUGCAGCACAAGCUUUAGGUCAUCCAUGGAUUAGAAAUUACAAUGACAUCAAGAUGCCAUUGGACGUCCUUAUAUUCCGUCUUAUCAAAGCUUAUAUUCGUUCUUCAUCAUUACGUAAAGCUGCUCUGAAGGCUUUAUCGAAGACUUUGACUGUUGAUGAGCUUUUCUAUCUCAAAGGGCAGUUUUCCUUAUUAGAACCUGACAGAAAUGGAUGCAUAACUCUAGAUAAUAUCAGAAUGGCCUUAACAAGAGAAGCCACGGAUGCGAUGAAAGAAACACGAGUUCAGGAGAUUCUUGUCUCGUUGAGUGCUCUUCAGUACAGAAGAAUGGACUUCCAUGAGUUCUGUGCAGCUGCAGUAAGUGUUCACCAGCUUGAAGCAUUAGACAGAUGGGAGCAACAUGCGAGAUCAGCUUAUGAAAUUUUCGAGAAGGAUGGCAAUCGAGCCAUUGUAAUUGACGAACUAGCUUCAGAACUGGGUCUCAGCCCCUCGGUGCCGCUGCACGUUGUUCUGCAGGACUGGAUCCGGCACACCGAUGGGAAGCUCAGCUUCCUCGGGUUUGUCAAGUUGCUGCAUGGCAUGUCCAGCAGGUCCCUGUCAAAGAUGAGAUAG
This 1815-nucleotide ribosomal RNA is filed under the name Triticum aestivum (bread wheat). RNAcentral's name for it is "partial small subunit ribosomal RNA". Lineage: Eukaryota; Viridiplantae; Streptophyta; Magnoliopsida; Poales; Poaceae. The record is from RNAcentral.